CGUUGGCGGCGUGGAUUAGGCAUGCAAGUCGAGCGCUCAUCAGCAAUGGUGGGAGCGGCGAACGGCGUAGUAAUAUAUAGGAACGUACCCUCGGGACGGGGAUAGCUACGGGAAACUGUAGGUAAUACCCGAUAAUCUCUGCGGAGCAAAGGUGUGAUUCCACCUGAGGAGCGGCCUACACGAUAUUAGCUAGUUGGUGGGGUAAUGGCCUACCAAGGCAACGAUGUCUAGGGGGUGUGAGAGCAUGGCCCCCACGACCGGAACUGAGAUACUGUCUGGACACCUACGGGUGGCUGCAGUCGAGAAUCUUCCGCAAUGGACGAAAGUCUGACGGAGCGACGCCGCGUGCGGGAUGAAGGCCCUUGGGUUGUAAACCGCUGUCAGAGGGGAUGAAAUCUUUGGAGGUACUCCUCCAAAGUUGACAAAGCCUCAAAGGAAGCACGGGCUAAGUACGUGCCAGCAGCCGCGGUAACACGUACUGUGCGAACGUUAUUCGGAAUCACUGGGCUUAAAGGGUGCGUAGGCGGCGAGUCAAGUCAGAUGUGAAAUGCCUGAGCUCAACUGAGGCAUUGCGUUUGAAACUGAUUUGCUAGAGUAUUCCAGGGGUGUGCGGAACUGCCAGUGGAACGGUGAAAUGUGUUGAUAUUGGCAGGAACACCGGAGGCGAAAGCGGCACACUGGGGGAUAACUGACGCUGAGGCACGAAAGCCAAGGGAGCGAAC
RNAcentral lists this ribosomal RNA (722 nucleotides) under uncultured Planctomycetota bacterium. RNAcentral describes it as "bacterial SSU rRNA". It matches the Rfam family "Bacterial small subunit ribosomal RNA", at positions 34 to 773 of the family's 1533-position model. The record is from RNAcentral. Lineage: Bacteria; Pseudomonadati; Planctomycetota.